This is a long non-coding RNA of Mus musculus (house mouse), 1797 nucleotides long. RefSeq annotates it as predicted gene, 33485. NCBI's taxonomy places the organism in Eukaryota, Metazoa, Chordata, Mammalia, Rodentia, Muridae. The transcript has 7 exons. The record is from RefSeq and is a predicted model, not a curated record.
UCCAGUUUGUGUCAAGUUGACAGAAGCUAACCAAUGAAGGAACUCAGAUGAGAAAGAGUGACAAGCGUGGACUCACACAUAGGCAUGGACCAGCGCUGUGCCCAGUGAACAAGGAGGAAGGAGAAAGGGUGGUACAAAGAAAGAACGCAGCUUAUGAUUAACCAGGCCUGACAUGUGGAUCCCAUAGACUGACAGUCCCAUCCCAACCUCUUCUGAGUUUCUAGAGAGGAGUCUCAGCCUCCCUGUGUAGAACUUUUUGUGGAGCCAGCUCACCUGAGGCUCGCUGUUGGUUUUCUGGAAACCAGCUCUUGUUGCUGUUCCCUGAAGGAUCUCACCUGAGCCUCCUGUCAUGGUGAUUGGCGGAGGGUGAUGUUCACCGGCUGUCUGUGCUUCCUUCAAGAUUUCAUUGGCUCUCAGCACUUCUGCUGGCCCGGUGGCUUGCUUACUGAGUUCUACACCAGAGUCCUGCAGUCGGAGAGACCAGUGAAUUGAUGAGCAGAGCCUAACCUGGGAACUGGGCUAUUAGUACAUCUCUGAAGCAUCUGACAGUCUACAGUCAGUUGACAAGCGCUGUGAAUCUACCAGAACAGGACUAAUGCAGAAGAGAAAGAGGAGAGGAAGCCUCAGCCUCCGGUUUCAAGGAGCCCUCCUCCAGGGACAAAACGCAGGCCUGAGUGGUCCUUUUAAGCCUGUCCCUGUUGGAAAGAGCACGGGAGUGACUUGGUCACAUGGUUCAGUCCCCAGGCCCACUCCUCUCGCCUCCCUCCUCCACGGAGCCACACUGCCCAAGUGUGCCUCAGAGGCAGUUGAGCAAAUCCAGAUGGUAGAAAGCCCCAUUCCCAGGAGGGCCCGACAGCUGCUGAAGGAUAUUGCCUUGGAGGGAGCCUUGUUUUGUCAUCAGUGAGUAACUGGAGGCGGACUGUGGUUCAGGUUUCCAUCCAAAUGUGGGGGAAGAAGGGAAGGGGGAGGGGAGCUGACUAGAGAAAUGCAGAUGCUGGAGAAGUAGCCAUGUGUUGUGCCCUGCCACAUAGUUACCUUGUUGUUAGACAGGCCCUCCCACGCACGCAGACCAUCUCCCUAAAUGGACAUUUCUUCACCCACCGCUUUAACUUGUGAUAGAAGGAACUUAGCUCGGCCACAAGAGAUUUGUUUCCCGCUCCAAAGUCACACUCCUCUCUGGGUGUGGGGCAUGGGUCUUAACAUAACUCCAUCUAACCACAAGGACUUGAGGAUGGGGGAGGCAAUAUUCCUUCCUCGCCAAGUUUUCUCUCCUUAUCUCUCCUUCACAUAUCCCACCCCGGCCCACAGCUUCUGCAAUGUUCUGUCCCUCACCCUCCCUGUAAUUUAUGGACGUGCUUUGCCUGGAAGAGCCAAAAAGCUAAGGAGGUUAUAUUGUCGUGCCAAGACACAGGACUUACUUGAGCCUCAAGAAGACCCCAAGCCCUGGUUCUGACAACCUCUACUCUUGUAACCUCAGUCAAAUGACUGCCUUUUCUUCCAGGUUCUCUUCCUACUCUCCCAUGGCUCUGUCUGUGCCUGUAUCUCCGAGCAUAACCUUUAAUCAGAUCUGCUAACCAUGUCCCAAGCUGCGCUAUUAUCAAACUAGACACAUAGCCAAUAUCCUCCAAAUAUUAAAAUCUAACAUCGGACUGUGAAAUUAGAACAAUUAUACCAAACUGUAAAUACCAAGUGAGGCAUUUCACACGAUUUGUAAAAUAAAGAGUAAAAAGAUUACUAUAGUGUACUAUAAAGGGUAAAAAGAAUAAAAAAUAAAUAAAUAAAAUUUCAAAGUUGCAA